UACAGAGGUGGCAAGCGUUGUUCGGAAUUACUGGGCGUAAAGGGCGCGUAGGCGGCCAUCUAAGUCAGACGUGAAAUCCCCCGGCUUAACCUGGGAACUGCGUCUGAUACUGGACGGCUUGAGUGCGGGAGAGGGAUGUGGAAUUCCAGGUGUAGCGGUGAAAUGCGUAGAUAUCUGGAGGAACACCGGUGGCGAAGGCGGCAUCCUGGACCGGUAUUGACGCUGAGGCGCGAAAGCUAGGGGAGCAACCGGG
RNAcentral lists this ribosomal RNA (253 nucleotides) under uncultured bacterium. RNAcentral describes it as "partial 16S ribosomal RNA". It matches the Rfam family "Bacterial small subunit ribosomal RNA", at positions 524 to 776 of the family's 1533-position model. The record is from RNAcentral.